RNAcentral lists this ribosomal RNA (467 nucleotides) under uncultured bacterium. RNAcentral's name for it is "partial 16S ribosomal RNA". It matches the Rfam family "Bacterial small subunit ribosomal RNA", at positions 28 to 507 of the family's 1533-position model. The record is from RNAcentral.
GACGAACGCUGGCGGCGUGCUUAACACAUGCAAGUCGAACGGAAAGGCCUCUUUCGUGGGGUACUCGAGUGGCGAACGGGUGAGUAACACGUGCGUAACCUGCCCUUGACUUUGGGAUAACUUCAUGAAACUGGGGCUAAUACCCGAUAUGAGCUCCUGCUGCCUGGUGGGGGUUGGAAAGUUUCGGCGGUUGGGGAUGGACUCUCGGCUUAUCAGCUUGUUGGUGGGGUAGUGGCUUACCAAGGCUUUGACGGGUAGCCGGCCUGAGAGGGUGACCGGCCACAUUGGGACUGAGAUAAGGCCCAGACUCCUACGGGAGGCAGCAGUGGGGAAUAUUGCACAAGGGGUGGAAGCCUGAUGCAGAAACGCCGGGUGCGGGAUGACGGCCUUCGGGUUGUAAAACGCUUUCGCUCAUGACGAAGAUUUGUGUGACGGGAGUGGGUAAAGAAGCACCGGCUAACUACGUG